RNAcentral lists this small RNA (147 nucleotides) under Papio anubis (olive baboon). RNAcentral's name for it is "Metazoan signal recognition particle RNA (ENSPANG00000040363.1)". The record is from Rfam by way of RNAcentral. Lineage: Eukaryota; Metazoa; Chordata; Mammalia; Primates; Cercopithecidae.
GCCGGGCGUGGUGGCGGGCGCCUGUAGUCCCAGCUACUCGGAGGCUGAGGCGGGAGAAUGGCGUGAACCCGGGAGGUGGAGCUUGCAGUGAGCCGAGAUCCGGCCACUGCACUCCAGCCUGGGCGACAGAGCGAGACUCCGUCUCAA